RNAcentral lists this ribosomal RNA (372 nucleotides) under uncultured organism. RNAcentral describes it as "bacterial SSU rRNA". It matches the Rfam family "Bacterial small subunit ribosomal RNA", at positions 526 to 896 of the family's 1533-position model. The record is from RNAcentral.
CAGAGGGUGCGAGCGUUGUCCGGAAUCACUGGGCGUAAAGGGCGCGUAGGCGGCUUCUCACGCGUGCGGUGAAAGCUCGGGGCUUAACUCCGAGUCUGCCGUGCGAACGGGGAGGCUUGAGUCUGGUAGAGGUCGAUGGAAUUCCGGGCGUAGCGGUGGAAUGCGUAGAGAUCCGGAAGAACACCGGUGGCGAAGGCGGUCGACUGGGCCAGUACUGACGCUGAGGCGCGACAGCGUGGGGAGCAAACAGGAUUAGAUACCCUGGUAGUCCACGCCGUAAACGAUGGGCACUAGAUCCUUGGGGGAGCGACCCCUUGAGGGUCGGCGCUAACGCAUUAAGUGCCCCGCCUGGGGAGUACGGCCGCAAGGCUG